Molecule: ribosomal RNA, 468 nt
Filed under: uncultured bacterium
Lineage: Bacteria
Description: partial 16S ribosomal RNA
Rfam family: Bacterial small subunit ribosomal RNA
Source: RNAcentral
GACGAACGCUGGCGGCGUGCUUAACACAUGCAAGUCGAACGGUAAGGCUUUGCUCUUGUACGGUGCUCGAGUGGCGAACGGGUGAGUAUCACGUGAGUAACCUCCCCUUUACUUUGGGAUACCUUCUUUGAACUGGGGCUAUUAUCGGGCAUGAGCUCCUUCUACAUGGUUUUUGUUUUAAAGUUACGGCGGUUCGGGAUGGACUCGCGGCUUAUCAUCUUGUUGGUGGGGUAGUGGAUUACCAAGGCGUUGACGCGUUGCCGGACUGGGAGGGUGACCGGCCACAUAGGGACUGAGAUACGGCCAAGACUCAUACGGGAGGCAGCAGUGAAGAAUAUUGCGAGAAGGGCGGAAGCAGGAAGCAGGAACGCCGCGUGCGGGAUGACGGCCUGCGGGGUGUAAACCGCUUGCGCCUGGGAAGAAGAGUGAGUGACGGUAAUGGGUAAAGAAGCACCGGCUAACUACGUG